UAGAUACCCUGGUAGUCCACGCCGUAAACGAUGUUCACUAGCUGUAUGCGAUAUGAUUGUAUGCGGCCGAGCGAAAGCAUUAAGUGAACCACCUGGGGAGUACGUUGGCAACAAUGAAACUCAAAGGAAUUGACGGGGGCCCGCACAAGCGGAGGAACAUGUGGUUUAAUUCGAUGAUACGCGAGGAACCUUACCUGGACUUAAAUGUAGGCUGCAUAGAGUAGAGAUAUUCUUUUCUUCGGACUGCCUGCAAGGUGCUGCAUGGUUGUCGUCAGCUCGUGCCGUGAGGUGUCGGGUUAAGUCCCAUAACGAGCGCAACCCCUAUCGUUAGUUGCCAUCAGGUUAAGCUGGGGACUCUAACGAGACUGCCGGUGUAAACCGCGAGGAAGGUGGGGAUGACGUCAAAUCAGCACGGCCCUUACGUCCAGGGCUACACACGUGUUACAAUGGCCGGUACAGAGGGCAGCUACAUAGCAAUAUGAUGCGAAUCUCGAAAGCCGGUCUCAGUUCGGAUUGGAGUCUGCAACCCGACUCCAUGAAGUUGGAUUCGCUAGUAAUCGCGCAUCAGCCACGGCGCGGUGAAUACGUUCCCGGGCCCUGUACACACCGCCCGUCAAACCAUGGAAGCUGGGGGUACCUGAAGUACGUUACCGCAAGGAUC
Molecule: ribosomal RNA, 661 nt
Filed under: uncultured Bacteroidota bacterium
Lineage: Bacteria; Pseudomonadati; Bacteroidota
Description: bacterial SSU rRNA
Rfam family: Bacterial small subunit ribosomal RNA
Source: RNAcentral